GGGGGCGGGGCCGCUCGGGGGCGUGUCCGGGGGCGUGGCCAGGCGGGGACGGUGACGCAGUGGGCGGGGCAGGGCGGGGCGGCAGCAGCGGCAGCGGCGGCUUCCAGCGACUUCGGCGGGCGGUCACUGCUGGGUGUUUGAAGAACUGUGAUGCUCAACGGAGACACACUUCCACAUCAGCAGUGACACCUCCUCCAGCUUUAGGGAAAACAGCCCAUCCUCACCAGAGCCCCCUCAGCAUGCCCAGCCAGCCCAGACAUUCCCUGGACCCUCCCUGUACUGGCUUGGGCUCUCCCCUGGGACAAAUCCUCAAGGAUCGUUUUGUCCCCUUUUGAACAGCCUGGACGCUGCAGCCCCUUGGAAACGCAUCAGGGAGGUGACACACGGAACCAGGAGAGGUGACACACAGGACCCAGCAGAGGUGACCCACGGAACCCAGCAGAGGUGGCAGCAGGAGCCAGCAGUGACGAACAGCGAGCGGGGCACUGGUGACUGCGAGGACCCUGUUGGUGCCCAGGACAUCCCUGCACCUUGCUGGAGCGAUGCCAGCUGCUGCUUAGCCUGCAGGAGGAAGGGAUGGGGAGUCCCCCUCCUUG
Molecule: long non-coding RNA, 596 nt
Filed under: Zonotrichia albicollis (white-throated sparrow)
Lineage: Eukaryota; Metazoa; Chordata; Aves; Passeriformes; Passerellidae
Description: lncRNA (ENSZALG00000014971.1)
Source: RNAcentral